Molecule: ribosomal RNA, 492 nt
Filed under: uncultured bacterium
Lineage: Bacteria
Description: partial 16S ribosomal RNA
Rfam family: Bacterial small subunit ribosomal RNA
Source: RNAcentral
AGUGAACGCUGGCGGUAGGCCUAACACAUGCAAGUCGAACGGCAGCACAGUAAGCUCUUUCUCUUACGGUUGGCGACUGGCGGACGGGUAAGGAAUACAUCACCAUCUUAUUUUUCUUGGGGGAUUACGUAGGGCCAUUUCCGCUAAUACCUCAUAUUUCCUACGGCUUAAUUCAGGAGAUCUUCGCACCUUUCGCGAUUGUAUUAGCCGAUGUCGGAUUAGCUAGUUGGCUGGGUAAAGGCCCACCAAGGCAACGAUCCGUAGCUGGUCUGAGAGGAUGAUCAGCCACACUGGAACUGAGACACGGUCCAGACUCCUACGGGAGGCAGCAGUAGGGAAUAUUGGACAAUGGGCGAAAGCCUGAUCCAGCAAUACCGCGUGGGUGAAGAAGGCCUUCGGAUUGUAAAACCCUGUUGUUAGGAAAGAAAAGAAGCAGGAGAAAACGCGGAUGUUCUGACGGUACCUAAAGAAUAAGCAACGGCUAACUUCGUG